CUAAGAAUCUUCCGCAAUGGGCGCAAGCCUGACGGAGCGACGCCGCGUGAACGAUGAAGGCCGCAAGGUUGUAAAGUUCUUUUCGGGAAGGAGAAUAAGGGGAGCAGGCAAUGGCUUUCCGAUGCCGUGAAUCCCGGAAUAAGCCCCGGCUAACUACGUGCCAGCAGCCGCGGUAACACGUAGGGGGCGAGCGUUGUUCGGAAUCAUUGGGCGUAAAGGGCGCGCAGGCGGCGUAUAAAGUCUGGCGUGAAAGUCCCCGGCUCAACCGGGGGAUAGCGUUGGAAACUGGUAUGCUUGAGUACGAGAGGGGAUGGCGGAAUUCCAGGUGUAGGGGUGAAAUCUGUAGAUAUCUGGAGGAACACCGACGGCGAAGGCAGCCAUCUGGUUCAGUACUGACGCUGAGGCGCGAAGGUGCGGGGAGCAAACAGG
This 429-nucleotide ribosomal RNA is filed under the name uncultured bacterium. RNAcentral describes it as "bacterial SSU rRNA". It matches the Rfam family "Bacterial small subunit ribosomal RNA", at positions 355 to 776 of the family's 1533-position model. The record is from RNAcentral.